UUUGAGGCAGGUAGAGCCAAGAAAGCUGGCUGGGCUCAGAGGAGGGGGCAGUUCAGGCUCCUGUCAGCAGCAGCCCCUCCACUGUGUCCCCUGGCCCUCGGGGCAGGACGGGAGGAAGGGACAAUGUGGUUUCCUCUGCUCGAGCAGCUCAGACCUCAUAGCCACCAGUGGGAGCUGAAAGAUGAGACAAGCUCCUUCCCCAGGCAUGGGGAUGAGGCAGUUACAGGAAGCUCAGGAAACAGAUGUCCCGAGUGAAGCAGGCACUAGGUGGUCUGACCCAGAUCCUCCCCCAUCCAGACAGUAGUACCCAUUCCAGCCCCAGUACUAACCCCCUGGAGCUCAGCUCUCAUCCCAGAUCCACCUCUAAGUCACUGGGGGCAGGUGACCUACUCUUUUGAGACUUCAGCCUACUAGUCAUCCAAGGGGAGACUUAGACUGGCCUCUGCUUCCUUCAUAAACCAUAUGAAGAUAAAGGGUGAUAGAGAGGUCGGGUGCGGUGGCUCACGCCUGUAAUCCCAGCGCUUUGGGAUUACACCUGCCAAGGCGGGUGGAUCACCUGAGGUCAGGAGUUCGAGACCAGUGUGAUCAACAUGGUGAAACCCACGU
RNAcentral lists this long non-coding RNA (606 nucleotides) under Homo sapiens (human). RNAcentral describes it as "non-protein coding lnc-CLUH-4:1". Lineage: Eukaryota; Metazoa; Chordata; Mammalia; Primates; Hominidae. The record is from RNAcentral.